Molecule: non-coding RNA, 70 nt
Organism: Mycena rebaudengoi
Lineage: Eukaryota; Fungi; Basidiomycota; Agaricomycetes; Agaricales; Mycenaceae
Source: the annotation of a GenBank genome assembly
GACCUAUUAGCGAAAUUGGUAUCGCGUCCACACCCUUUGGAAGGUCCUCGUUCGAAUCGAGGUUAGGUCA